Paramuricea clavata is the source of this 518-nucleotide non-coding RNA. NCBI's taxonomy places the organism in Eukaryota, Metazoa, Cnidaria, Anthozoa, Malacalcyonacea, Plexauridae. The record is from the annotation of a GenBank genome assembly.
CAAUCCUCUUGUCCACCAGGUAAUGAGGUAGGAAUGCUGGAUUUCAUGAUGUGGCCUUGGUUUGAACGACUGCCUGUAGUGUAUCCUCUUUCUGCUGACGUACAUCCAAACCUGACUAACUGGUUCAACCUGAUGCAUAAGGAGCCUGCAGUGAAAGAAACAGCAUUUUCAAAGGAGAUCCACUUGAAAUUUUACGAAGGAUAUCUCAAUGCCAAACCUGUCUAUGACUAAUUCGAACCUAUUGUAUAUAUGUCAAAACGUUUCCAAAUAUGUUGCUACCCGAACCCUGCUGUCUCACAAAUACAUUGUUUUUAGAUAUAGAACACUGAUAUGUAAACCAAUUAAGUGAUAUAUCUAAGAUGAUUUAUCUAAUUAUAGUUACAACCACGAAAUAUAUCAUUAUCUAAUUAGGAUUAACCAAUCAAAACGAUAGCUAGAAAUAGCAAAUAACAGGAACUAUUAAUUAUUCGCCGAAGGCGAGGUGAUUAUCGGGGAAUAUUCACCGAGACGAAGUCGAG